This 125-nucleotide small RNA is filed under the name Marmota monax (woodchuck). Lineage: Eukaryota; Metazoa; Chordata; Mammalia; Rodentia; Sciuridae. The record is from RNAcentral.
GCUGGGCAUGGUGGCACACGCCUGUAAUCCCAGCAGUUUAGGAGGCUGAGACAAGAGGAUCACGGGUUUAAAGCCAGCCUCGGCAAAGGCUAGGCACUAAGUAACUCAGUGAGACCCUGUCUCUA